CUUCAGAACAUAAAUUAACAGUGCUCAAUCAAAAUUGACAACCAAUAUCCCUUGGUGACAAUCAAAGCUGACACCAGAGCCCUUGAGAAAGAAAAAAAAAAAAUCAUAUUUUUAAGUAAAUUGCAUCUCAAAACCAUAUCAGAACCAUACCUCCAGCAAUAUGAAGAGUCCUAUCCAAAAUCUCAGUAGCUAUAACUAACAACUUUCAAAUUACUCCCACAACUGCACGGACUGAAGUAGCAAAAACAGUAUACGCUAGAAAGAUUUAUACAGAAAAGUUUGCAAAAAUAUCAGAAAUCACUAGCCUAAACCAGAUAGAAAUCUUCUCUAUUUUGACAUUAAUUUCCUAACAGCAGAAAACCAAGGCAAGCACUUGGGUUUAAGCACCAUUGGGUUAUGUAACUCAAAAAAUUGAUGAGACACCGUUUUUUCUCCUCCACAAUCUCCAACACAGUUAAGCAUCUCUUGACUAAUCACUCCUCUAAUAUACAAAUCAUCUUUUGUAGCUAUCCUAAUUUGAAGCAUUCUCCAUACCAACAUAGAUAUCUUUGACGGGAUCGAUUUAUUCCAAACCCAUUUGCAUUCCUCUAAAUCAUUAAAUUCCACCAUUUCUAAAUCUCUCUUUAACUCUUCUCAAGAGUCGAGACCUUUUCCUUCUUCAUCAUUUAAGCUCCCUGUUCAAACUUAACACCCACCUACUCGCAAUUUAGACAUAAGAUUGAUGACCAAGUUUCCCUAUUUCAUAGCUGAAUCAAAAACAUUCAAGAUUUAUCUAACAAAAGCAAGUAGAUUGAUUCACUUUGUUAAUUCUGAACAAACACAUAGUGGAUCAGAACAUCGUUACAAGAGCAUAAUAGGUUAUGAUUCAAAACAUAUAAUUACAAAAAGAAAUCAAAAUGAACCAAACCUUAACAGAACAAGACCUAUGG
Molecule: long non-coding RNA, 929 nt
Filed under: Medicago truncatula (barrel medic)
Lineage: Eukaryota; Viridiplantae; Streptophyta; Magnoliopsida; Fabales; Fabaceae
Description: long non-coding RNA (MTRU_LNC006803)
Source: RNAcentral